RNAcentral lists this transfer RNA (71 nucleotides) under Candidatus Aenigmatarchaeota archaeon. RNAcentral describes it as "tRNA-Cys". It matches the Rfam family "tRNA". Rfam says of the family: Transfer RNA (tRNA) molecules are approximately 80 nucleotides in length. Their secondary structure includes four short double-helical elements and three loops (D, anti-codon, and T loops). Further hydrogen bonds mediate the characteristic L-shaped molecular structure. tRNAs have two regions of fundamental functional importance: the anti-codon, which is responsible for specific mRNA codon recognition, and the 3' end, to which the tRNAs corresponding amino acid is attached (by aminoacyl-tRNA synthetases). tRNAs cope with the degeneracy of the genetic code in two manners: having more than one tRNA (with a specific anti-codon) for a particular amino acid; and 'wobble' base-pairing, i.e. permitting non-standard base-pairing at the 3rd anti-codon position. Lineage: Archaea; Nanobdellati; Candidatus Aenigmatarchaeota. The record is from RNAcentral.
GCGGAGGUGGCAGAGUAGCUAUGCGUCCGGCUGCAGACCGGUUUACGGGGGUGCAAAUCCCUCCCUCCGCU